ACCUACGGGGGGCAGCAAUGAGGAAUAUUGGUCAAUGGUCGGGAGACUGAACCAGCCAAGCCGCGUGAGGGAGGAAGGUACAGAGUAUCGUAAACCUCUUUUGUCAGGGAACAAAGGCGGGGACGUGUCCCCGGAUGAGUGUACCUGAAGAAAAAGCAUCGGCUAACUCCGUGCCAGCAGCCGCGGUAAUACGGAGGAUGCGAGCGUUAUCCGGAUUUAUUGGGUUUAAAGGGUGCGCAGGCGGUCUGUUAAGUCAGCGGUCAAAGCCCGGGGCUCAACCCCGGCCCGCCGUUGAAACUGGCAGU
RNAcentral lists this ribosomal RNA (305 nucleotides) under uncultured bacterium. RNAcentral describes it as "bacterial SSU rRNA". It matches the Rfam family "Bacterial small subunit ribosomal RNA", at positions 337 to 640 of the family's 1533-position model. The record is from RNAcentral.